AAAAAUCUAUUGAGUCUCACAUAUAAUUUUUAAAUUUCGGGAACGAACUAGUUUCUCCCAUGAACUUUGUUGUUGUUUUUCACUUUUUCAAAAUGGACCACGAGGUGGAUGCAGAAAAGUUAAACAGGAAAAGAUAAAGGAGCCAUCGAAGGAUAGCGUCCAUCUCGAAAAUAGUGAGGAUAUUUACCUAAAAUGGACGGAGAUGCAGCGUAAAACGGCGAUGGAGUGCGGCCUUAUCUUUCUUAGCUGAAAGAUUAUUCGUAAGCUGAAUAAAUCAUCGAUGGAUAUUCGGUUACACAUUAUCGGAUCGCACCACCAACGGCUUCGGCAUGGACGCGGCGGCCCCGGCACAUUCCGCUGCUUCUGCAUCUAAUCAUUAAAACGUUAACAUUUCUAUAAUUGUGUUUAUAAACAUCUACUUUGAACAAAUUUUAAAAUAAAAUUUAAGUGUUUUGAGGUUU
Molecule: long non-coding RNA, 461 nt
Organism: Aedes albopictus (Asian tiger mosquito)
Lineage: Eukaryota; Metazoa; Arthropoda; Insecta; Diptera; Culicidae
Exons: 3
Source: RefSeq, a predicted model, not a curated record